CCGAUGCCGUAUCCUGCCGCCCGUUUUACCCGCGGGAAAGCCGAGGCCCGGUGCUGUAUUCUGCCGCCCAUUUUACCCGCGGGGAAGCUGAGGCCCAGUGCUGUUUAAUAUCUUACUCAUGUUCACUUGAUGAGAAAGUGACAGAUCUGAGACAAACCCAGUUCUAGAGGUUAUGACACCAGCCAUGGAAGAGCAGAGAGGCCAAUGAGGUGGGGAGGUUGGAAACAAAAGGCCUUCUCCACCCCAGCUUGACCAACCCAAAAGCUGGAAGGCAAGGAAGACCUAGAUCGACAGAAAAGAAAUGAGUCAACGAUGGUGCAGGUGAUCUGUGCAGUGCUGUGCAGGGGAUGGGUCAAAGCUGUGAUGCUGGCAUGCAACUAACUCACCAUUAAAGGGACCAGCUUGACGAAGCUUCUGCUUUUGUGACUGUCUCCUAAUGGGAGAAGUGAAAUUCUACCUCACUUUUUUAAAAGAAGAGCCUGGAAUUGGCCUAUCCGUCUUUUUCCCCGUUGGAUCACAGAGCAGAAAGGAAGCUAAGACCUCUAGUACAGUGUUCAAUGGAACUGGUGAGAAAAGACGUCCUUGCUGUGUUCCUGAUAUGAAGAGGAAAGCAGUCCUUCUCCAUUAAAUGCUGACAACAUGAGCCUCCCGUGGUCGGAACGGGCUUGUGAAGGCGGUGCUGGGGUGCACCAGGGCAGCAGCUACAGAAUGCACCAGCUGGAGUCGACAUUAAAGGGCCCCAUUUCCCAUUUGCUGCAGAAGAUGUUUAAUUGGAAGUCUCUCCCUGUCCUUUUACCCUCUGGUGCUGGGCACCAAUGAGAAGCUCAUCUGGCCCCGGGAUCCUGGCAGGACACUGGGAGCACUAUUUCCAUGGGCAGCAGGGUUGUUCCUGGAGACAUCACUGACCCAGGACACCUAGCACAAUGGCACUCGAUGUGAAAGUGGCUUCGUACAAAUCUGCCACUCAAGCCUAAAUAAGUGCAUUCCAGAAGAGCCGCAGCCCCUCUAACAGCUCCUGAGGUGAGGGAAACCCUAGGGAUGGGAAGUUGGAGCAGAAAGAGAUGGUGGCCUGAAGUCAACUGCAGUGAAAAUCUCUCCCCAUCAGCAAGUUUUGCAAAGCUAUGGCCACAGGGACACAUGACUGGGGCCCCUCCUAGUCUUGGAAGGAGCCCCCAUGGAAAUGAGGGCCUCACAGUGAAUCCACCUCUGAUCCUACUUCACCUGCAGUCAAAUGAGAAGAGAUUUCAAUCAGCUAAAGACACCCUAUCCCCUCUCCCCGACCCCUGCGACCCCAGGAGCUCCUGCCUUGUCACUGUGUCCCCAAACGAACCGCAUCUGAAUCAAGCCCCUUUCUCUCCCUAGUGGUCAACAUCUGGGCUGUGAUGGGCAGCUCCCACUCUUGCCUUAGAAUAUGACUGGAGAGGUGACUUCUCAUCACAUGGAGAAUAUGUUCACCCCAUGGUGCUUUCCACCCAAGCUGACCAUGGCUUGACUUUUUGGUGUAGUUGCUAGCUCUGUGCCAUCCUUGGCAAUGUGACCCUGGAGCAGCUGUCCCCAGUGUGCAUUUGGGGGAUUUCAUGUAAUUAUGAAUAGGAUGCAAAUUUUAUAGCCCCAGUGAAGGGAAACACCCCUGGCGAGGCUUCCCGGGGCCAGAGAGAGGACUCCACUGAGGGAGAUGGUGGCAGGGCCAUUCUUUGUGUCCUGCUUUUUUUUUUUUUUUUUUUUUUAACAUCCUCUUUAUGUCCUGAGAGCCAUGUGCAGAUGAGGAAAAAUGACAUGCAAUGCAUUUUUGCCUGCCACAAUGACUUUGCAAUCAUAACAAGCAAAAUGUUCUAAACAGUAAGUGAAUCGAGGAAGAUAUACUGCCAAGUCAGGAAGAAAAAAUCCACCUGUUCAGUGAUUUCAGGAACUGCUGAAGAAAAUCACCAGUGAGUAUCAGUUUCUGCAAGAGAAUCUAAUGCAGGCUUUGCUUCUCAUCGGAAUCCCCCAGCUGGUGUCUUGGUUGACUGAGAGUCUGGGGGAGAGGGCAGAGAAUGGAUUUAUUCUCUGCUAGGUUUUUAACAGUCAAGAAGGGCUGUGGUCCUAAGGGGCACUGGUCAAACCUUAGUGUGCAUCAGAAUUAUCUGGAUAAGGCUAGGCACAGUGGCUCACGCCUGUAAUCACAGCACUUUGGGAGGCUGAGGCGCGUGGAUCACCUGAGGUCAGAAGUUCAAGACCAGCCUGGCUCUUUUAGUAGAGAAACCCUAUGUCUAUUAAAAAGUACAAAAUUUAGCCAGGUGUGGUGGUGAGUGCCUGUAAUCCCAGCUACUUGGGAGGCUGAGGCAGGACAGUCACUUGAAUCUAGGAGGCAGAGGUUGCAGUGAACUGAGAUCGUGCCAUUGUGCUCCAGCCUGGGCAACAAGAGUGAAACUCUAUCUC
RNAcentral lists this long non-coding RNA (2418 nucleotides) under Homo sapiens (human). Its description in RNAcentral is "PREDICTED lncRNA (TCONS_00168771)". Lineage: Eukaryota; Metazoa; Chordata; Mammalia; Primates; Hominidae. The record is from RNAcentral.